GAGACACUAUUGUGUGAAUGCAAAGGCAUUCCUUUUGUAUCACCCACUUGUAUAAACCUUCUGUUGCAAUGAGAUUCCUUGCCACACAAGGUUUUACACCUAAACAUGUUGCCUAAAAAAAGAGUGGAGAAAAUCAAUCUAGAGCUUCAGUUUGGGCUCUCAGGUACAUUUUUAUUUUUAUUUUUGGUCUUCUUUUGGCUUCAGAUUUGUCUAUCUCUUUUUCAUCUUUGUGGUUUGUAUGUUGUAUAUAUCUGUUUGUGUUUAUAUAUAUGUACAUAUAUAUAUAUAUAUAAAUUUAUUAGAGAAACAUUUUAUUUUACAGUAUUGUCUCAAUCGAAGUAUGCAGAUUAGUAAGUUUAGAAUAUUUUUUCUUUUAAUGCUUUUCUUGUCUAGAGCAUACGAACAAUAAGACGCAUCACCACCUUAAGACAAUUAUCAUCUAACGCCAAUUCAUACAGUUGGCCUGCUUGUAUUCCUUGCGGUAAUACUUACUCUAGCGUUUUAUACUUGUUGGAUGAAUCGAUUGCAGUAGAAUCAUAAAGCACAAAAUCAUGGAGCGCAAAAUUAUUUUCAGUGAAAUGUUCGACCUGCAGUUAUGAACAACAAUCCACCACACCCAUUGUUGAAUGGCAUGCCAACACAUGAAUACUCAGAAGAAUGGUCCAGUUCUAGAAGUGCUUGUUUAAUAUGGUGUGAAGACUUUCUAGAGGAGGAAAUAUAUUGAGGCUUCCUGAUUGCCAACGCAAUUACCAUGUGAAUUGUAUUUCACAAUGGUUUUAUACGAGUUCCUAUUUCUGUCUAAUAUGUAGACAUGAUUGUACUAAUUAUCAGACAUAAGGUUGUAUAUAUAUAUAUAUAUACACAUACAUAUAAAUUGAGAGUAAAGUUAAUAACAAAUUACAUAUUAUAUCUUGAUUAGUGUAUUUAGUAUGGAAGUAAAUUAAAAUAGUGUGAAAGUUUUAUUAUCGUAAUCUCUCUGUAUUUUAUAUAAAUGUAGUAUGGAAGUUUUAUUAUUGUAAUCUCUCUGUGUAUUUAGCAUACAAGUGAUUAAAAUAGUGUAGAAAUUUUAUUAUUAUAAUCUCUCUCUCUCUAUUUGUGAAAGUGAUGUUCAUCAUGAAUCUAAGUGUAAUUGGGAGAUGAG
RNAcentral lists this long non-coding RNA (1141 nucleotides) under Carica papaya (papaya). RNAcentral's name for it is "long non-coding RNA (CPAP_LNC004280)". The record is from RNAcentral. Lineage: Eukaryota; Viridiplantae; Streptophyta; Magnoliopsida; Brassicales; Caricaceae.